Molecule: small RNA, 57 nt
Filed under: Caenorhabditis elegans
Lineage: Eukaryota; Metazoa; Nematoda; Chromadorea; Rhabditida; Rhabditidae
Description: Unclassified non-coding RNA T23B3.7
Source: RNAcentral
GGUAACUCUAUCGUUUUGUUAUUUUUUGUGUUUGGCGUUCCAGUCAUUUUUCCUUCC